Molecule: transfer RNA, 70 nt
Filed under: Trimma preclarum (exquiite pygmy goby)
Lineage: Eukaryota; Metazoa; Chordata; Actinopteri; Gobiiformes; Gobiidae
Description: tRNA-His
Rfam family: tRNA
About the family: Transfer RNA (tRNA) molecules are approximately 80 nucleotides in length. Their secondary structure includes four short double-helical elements and three loops (D, anti-codon, and T loops).
Source: RNAcentral
GUAGGCAUAGUUUUAAACAAAACGUUAGACUGUGAUUUUAAAGAUAGAAGUUAAAUCCUCCUUGCCCACC